This 497-nucleotide ribosomal RNA is filed under the name uncultured bacterium. RNAcentral describes it as "partial 16S ribosomal RNA". It matches the Rfam family "Bacterial small subunit ribosomal RNA", at positions 28 to 507 of the family's 1533-position model. The record is from RNAcentral.
GAUGAACGCUGGCGGCGUGCCUAAUACAUGCAAGUCGAGCGAACAGACGAGGAGCUUACUCCUCUGACGUUAGCGGCGGACGGGUGAGUAACACGUGGAUAACCUACCUAUAAGACUGGGAUAACUUCGGGAAACCGGAGCUAAUACCGGAUAACAUGCUGAACCGCAUGGUUCAACAGUGAAAGACGGUCUUGCUGUCACUUAUAGAUGGAUCCGCGUCGCAUUAGCUAGUUGGUAAGGUAACGGCUUACCAAGGCAACGAUGCGUAGCCGACCUGAGAGGGUGAUCGGCCACACUGGAACUGAGACACGGUCCAGACUCCUACGGGAGGCAGCAGUAGGGAAUCUUCCGCAAUGGGCGAAAGCCUGACGGAGCAACGCCGCGUGAGUGAAGAAGGUCUUCGGAUCGUAAAACUCUGUUAUUAGGGAAGAACAAAUGUGUAAGUAACUAUGCACGUCUUGACGGUACCUAAUCAGAAAGCCACGGCUAACUACGUG